UAAAAGGGACAGUCCAUCCUCUUCAACUGGCUGAAGGACAUAGUCAACCAUUUUCGGUGGUGUUGCAAGACUGCCGACACACGUGGGCAGUUUCUUGCAUUAUGGCUUGGCAUCCUUCACCAUGUCUGCAACAUUCACACCUGGACUAUGGGAAGUUGCAAACACGGGCACCUUGAAUCGGAUCAAAUGCGGAGAAAGAUGUGGAUCCAGAGAGACUCCCAGUGCCACAAAGCUUUAGUGGAUAUAGUUCUCAAUAAGAAGUGGCAGAAAGAUGUUCACAACUAUCUGUGAUUCAGAUCAACUGCAGACCUAGAGUCAUUCCAGAAUCAUAUCCUGAUGUAUGCCAGCAAGCGUUAUGCUUUCAGCCCCCCAGUUUAUGAGGCAAGAGUUCUGCUUGCUGCUUUGGACUACAAUUUCCACCGGAACCGACCAACAAUGAAAACGUUGGACGGCAAAGAGAUUUUCAAAAGAUUGUAUAAGAAGAACGGUAGAAGAUACAGCGUAUAUGCCUUGAAAUCUGAAAAAACCUACGGAUACAUUUCCGAGUUGCAAAGAAGGAUUGUGAAGAACAGACUCACAAGUGGAGUGGGGAUGCCUAGAAGGAGGAGCCUUCUCCUAGAUGACCCCAGACAGCUUGGUUUGGUGCCUCCCGUACCUGCACCAGCAACAUCAGACUUGUUGCAGAGACAAGUCACAAAUUUGUUGCCUAUGUUGUACCAUAUUACAUGUCACUGAAUGAUAUUUACAUUACAAUAUAGUCUGUAACUAUGUUUGAUGGCACUGUCUUCAACAGGACCGUUAUUCCAACCAGCAUCUGAUGUGGAAGGAUCCCCAUAGGAGAUCACCUUGCAUGUGUCCUGGUACUUGUCAGGCAGGAUCACGAGGGAAAGAACUUCAGUUCACUGACAAAGUCAUAGCUUUUACCCUUCAAAAAGAGAAAUUUAUUAACAUUAAAUUCUGUUCCUACCCUCCUCCAGUGGUUAUUUCAUGUUUUUCCAAUUUGUACACGUUUCAUCUUAUUCUGCUAAGUCCACUGUGACCAGCGCAUAUUAUUUUCAGUAGGUAGCCUAAAUUACAGUUUACAAUUUGAACAGUAAUGAUA
Molecule: long non-coding RNA, 1102 nt
Organism: Micropterus dolomieu (smallmouth bass)
Lineage: Eukaryota; Metazoa; Chordata; Actinopteri; Centrarchiformes; Centrarchidae
Exons: 4
Source: RefSeq, a predicted model, not a curated record